UGGGGAAUUUUGGACAAUGGGCGAAAGCCUGAUCCAGCAAUGCCGCGUGUGUGAAGAAGGCCUUCGGGUUGUAAAGCACUUUUGUCCGGAAAGAAAUCCUUGGCUCUAAUACAGUCGGGGGAUGACGGUACCGGAAGAAUAAGCACCGGCUAACUACGUGCCAGCAGCCGCGGUAAUACGUAGGGUGCAAGCGUUAAUCGGAAUUACUGGGCGUAAAGCGUGCGCAGGCGGUUUGCUAAGACCGAUGUGAAAAUCCCCGGGCUCAACCUGGGAACUGCAUUGGUGACUGGCAGGCUAGAGUAUGGCAGAGGGGGGUAGAAUUCCACGUGUAGCAGUGAAAAUGCGUAGAGAUGUGGAGGAAUACCGAUGGCGAAGGCAGCCCCCUGGGCCAAUACUGACGCUCAUGCACGAAAAGCGUGGGGAGCAAAACAGGAUUAGAUACCCUGGUAGUCCACGCCCUAAACGAUGUCAACUAGUUGUUGGGGAUUCAUUUCCUUAGUAACGUAGCUAACGCGUGAAGUUGACCGCCUGGGGAGUACGGUCGCAAGAUUAAAACUCAAAUGAAUUGACGGGGUCAUAGCUGUUUCCU
RNAcentral lists this ribosomal RNA (589 nucleotides) under uncultured bacterium. RNAcentral describes it as "partial 16S ribosomal RNA". It matches the Rfam family "Bacterial small subunit ribosomal RNA", at positions 355 to 1375 of the family's 1533-position model. The record is from RNAcentral.